CUUAUAUCUGAAAACCAGAGUGCUUUCAUUCCAGGAAGGCUUAUAUCUGACAACUCUAUCAUUGCAUUCGAAUGUAUUCACCAUAUUCAGUCAAUCAAGAGUAACUCACCAGCUUUAUGUGCCUACAAUUUGAAUUUAUCAAAGGCCUAUGAUCGUGUUGAUUGGGAUUUCUUGGAGAGGGCACUGGUCAAAUGGGGCUUCUCUCAGCAUUGGAUUUCUCGCAUGAUGGCUUGUGUUACUUCGGUGAAAUAUUCAGUAAAGUUUAAUGGGAAAUUGUUGGACCCCUUCUCCCCUUCCAGGGGGCUCUGUCAAGGUGAUCCGUUAUCCCCCUUUCUU
Molecule: ribosomal RNA, 336 nt
Filed under: Triticum aestivum (bread wheat)
Lineage: Eukaryota; Viridiplantae; Streptophyta; Magnoliopsida; Poales; Poaceae
Description: partial small subunit ribosomal RNA
Source: RNAcentral